Molecule: long non-coding RNA, 1314 nt
Organism: Xyrauchen texanus (razorback sucker)
Lineage: Eukaryota; Metazoa; Chordata; Actinopteri; Cypriniformes; Catostomidae
Exons: 3
Source: RefSeq, a predicted model, not a curated record
GCAAGGCCUCAGGAGUCACGUGAAAUGCAGCUCACACAUUGGAUGAAACAAGUCUCCAAAGGAAAAAUUUAAUUAUAGGCUGAGCUGAUGUUGGCCCACUGAUUGGGACAAUACUGCCAUCUGUAUCAACACAGAACCUCAACCUUAUGGUAAGUCAUAGUCACAGAAUUAAACAUAUUAUAUAUAGAUGGCCACUUGAUUUAAUAAUGCUACAAUCUAUCUCUUUAAAAAUGUGAGCAGGCCAAAAGGGAAUAUAUUUGUAAGCAGGCAAGGUUGGUAGCUACUCCUCUCUCUUCCUCUUUUGGAACUGAAUGGAUUUUGGUGUGUACACCGGAGGAGCUGAACACUCAUCACCGGUUGAAGCUGGGGUCUUGGCGGAUCUGAAGGGGGUGGCGGAGGAGAAGGCAGAGAUGAAGAGCAGUCUCUGAUCCAUGCAAAUAGAAGGUGGUAGUACCGGUAAAUGCACUUACAAGUUUGCAAACCAUCAUUAAUGAGAAGAAGAAAAAGAAGUUGGUGGCUACUCACUUCCUGUUUAGGUCCUGAUGCCAGUGCUAGCAUUGUAGCAGCAGAGCGUGUGAGCAGUAUGCAUUAUCGUCUUGUCCCAUCAGGUGGGCUGUUUAGAUUGUUUGAGGUUUUGUAAUGUAACUCAAAUGUAGUUGUCUUGAUAUGUUUCUUGUGUGAUUUUAAUUUUUGUAAAGUAGACGAGGAUGUUCACCUCUCAAAUUUGGAUGAUGAAAACGAGCUAAAGGAUGGGAUAACCGCAAGUUGAGCUUGACAAAAACAUUAAAGGCAUGAUGGCUGGGGGACUGGAGGACCUACAAGCAGAGCUGCAGCGGUUACAAGAACCGAAUUAGAGACUGAGAGAACAACAAAAUAAUGGAGGUAAAGCCACAAGUGACUUUGUACCUGCUAUAACCCAACGUUGGGAAUUCAUAUACAGUAUGUAUCAUGAGAACGUAUAUGCUCUAAAUUCUUAGGAAGGCCUAAAGUCUUUCCUUGUAUUGAGGAUUGGGUUGAAGAAGUGCAAAGCUGUACUAGAGGUAAUCAUAUGUCUAAGUUGGAAAAAAGAUUUGUAUGUAUAUGUCCAUUUGGAAGGGGAAGCCCGUACAGAAAUUAAAUUUAGGUUUUAAGUGAAGUACAGGAAGAUGCAGAAAUGUUUUUUUUAUGUUUUGAUUGAAUUGUACUCUUGCUCACAUUCAUUUAUUUCAUUACAAGGAUGGCGUUUUGAUCGUAAACAAGGAGGAAGAGACAUUAAAAAAGUUUUCUUUUUUAAUUGAUGGCUCUGAUGGAGAAAGUAAAAAAAAGCUAUCCAAA